UACGUAGGGUGCGAGCGUUAAUCGGAAUUACUGGGCGUAAAGCGUGCGCAGGCGGCUUUGCAAGACAGGCGUGAAAUCCCCGGGCUCAACCUGGGAAUUGCGCUUGUGACUGCAAGGCUGGAGUGCGGCAGAGGGGGAUGGAAUUCCGCGUGUAGCAGUGAAAUGCGUAGAUAUGCGGAGGAACACCAAUGGCGAAGGCAAUCCCCUGGGCCUGUACUGACGCUCAUGCACGAAAGCGUGGGGAGCAAACAGG
RNAcentral lists this ribosomal RNA (253 nucleotides) under uncultured bacterium. RNAcentral's name for it is "partial 16S ribosomal RNA". It matches the Rfam family "Bacterial small subunit ribosomal RNA", at positions 524 to 776 of the family's 1533-position model. The record is from RNAcentral.